This 591-nucleotide ribosomal RNA is filed under the name Ogataea siamensis. RNAcentral describes it as "eukaryotic LSU rRNA". It matches the Rfam family "Eukaryotic large subunit ribosomal RNA", at positions 40 to 652 of the family's 3401-position model. The record is from RNAcentral. Lineage: Eukaryota; Fungi; Ascomycota; Pichiomycetes; Pichiales; Pichiaceae.
AUAUCAAUAAGCGGAGGAAAAGAAACCAACAGGGAUUGCCUUAGUAGCGGCGAGUGAAGCGGCAAGAGCUCAAAUUUGAAAUCUGGUACCUUCGGUGCCCGAGUUGUAAUUUGAAGAAAGUAAUCUUGGAGGUGGCCUUUGUCUAUGUUCCUUGGAACAGGACGUCACAGAGGGUGAGAAUCCCGUGCGAUGAGGUGUCCAUUUCCAUGUAAGAUGCUUUCGAAGAGUCGAGUUGUUUGGGAAUGCAGCUCAAAGUGGGUGGUAAAUUCCAUCUAAAGCUAAAUAUUGGCGAGAGACCGAUAGCGAACAAGUACUGUGAAGGAAAGAUGAAAAGAACUUUGAAAAGAGAGUGAAAAAGUACGUGAAAUUGUUGAAAGGGAAGGGUAUUUGAUCAGACUUGGUAUUUAGUUAUCAUUGCUCCUUGUGGGUGGUGCUCUAACUUUUUACUGGGCCAGCAUCAGUUUUGGUGGUAAGAUAAUGACAGUUGAAUGUGGCUCCUCGGAGUGUUAUAGCUUCUGUUGAUGUUGCCUACCGGGACUGAGGUCUGCGGCUUUGCCUAGGAUGCUGGCGUAAUGAUCCAAUACCGCCCGU